RNAcentral lists this ribosomal RNA (369 nucleotides) under uncultured bacterium. RNAcentral describes it as "bacterial SSU rRNA". It matches the Rfam family "Bacterial small subunit ribosomal RNA", at positions 527 to 896 of the family's 1533-position model. The record is from RNAcentral.
GUAGGGAGCGAGCGUUAAUCGGAAUUACUGGGCGUAAAGCGUGCGUAGGCGGUUCGUUAAGUUCGUUGUGAAAGCCCCGGGCUCAACCUGGGAAUGGCAAUGGAAACUGGCGGGCUGGAGUAUGGCAGAGGGGGGUGGAAUUCCGCGUGUAGCAGUGAAAUGCGUAGAGAUGCGGAGGAACACCGAUGGCGAAGGCAGCCCCCUGGGCCAAUACUGACGCUCAGGCACGAAAGCGUGGGGAGCAAACAGGAUUAGAUACCCUGGUAGUCCACGCCCUAAACGAUGCUCACUAGGUGUUGGGGAAGCGAUUCCUUGGUACCGUAGCUAACGCGUGAAGUGAGCCGCCUGGGGAGUACGGCCGCAAGGUUA